RNAcentral lists this long non-coding RNA (340 nucleotides) under Rattus norvegicus (Norway rat). Its description in RNAcentral is "long non-coding RNA NONRATT032028". The record is from RNAcentral. Lineage: Eukaryota; Metazoa; Chordata; Mammalia; Rodentia; Muridae.
CUUCCCAUAAGCUAAAGAUGCAUCUUCUGCUAUUAGACUGCAAUAGCAAGCAUCCCUCUUUGGUCCACUCUGUUGGAUGGUUAUUGAAUAAAAUCUAUUGUAGCGAACAGAAUCUAAUCAGCCUUAUCUCAUUUUAAAGCACAAUAUCUCUUUUCUCGUUUUGAAGUGUUUCAAAUGGCUCUUCAAUAUUUAAAGUGAUGUCUAAUCAUCUGUGAAAUCAACCAUGGACUCUCGGGACCUCAUAAACAAAAGAAAAUGCUGGAACCAUUUCAUCAUCUCAAAGUCACCGGGAAUGGCAUGCAUAGAGGGACCUGCUCUGCUGGCACCUGCUCCUGGCUUC